This 74-nucleotide transfer RNA is filed under the name Ictidomys tridecemlineatus (thirteen-lined ground squirrel). RNAcentral's name for it is "Spermophilus tridecemlineatus (thirteen-lined ground squirrel) tRNA". It matches the Rfam family "tRNA". From Rfam's summary of the family: Transfer RNA (tRNA) molecules are approximately 80 nucleotides in length. The record is from Rfam by way of RNAcentral. Lineage: Eukaryota; Metazoa; Chordata; Mammalia; Rodentia; Sciuridae.
AGGGAUGUGGCACUAGAUAGUAGAGCACUUGCCUAGCAUGCAUGAGACCCUGGGUUCAAUCCCCAGCACUUCAA